This 1302-nucleotide ribosomal RNA is filed under the name Triticum aestivum (bread wheat). Its description in RNAcentral is "partial small subunit ribosomal RNA". The record is from RNAcentral. Lineage: Eukaryota; Viridiplantae; Streptophyta; Magnoliopsida; Poales; Poaceae.
AUGGAGCGCGACCGCGCCGCGCGCCGCGCCGACGUCGACGCCUUCCUCGUCUCCCUCGGCGUCGACCCGGGCGAGCUCGCCGGCCUCGAGCUCCCCGUCACCGUCGACGUCAUGCGGGAGCGCGUCGAGUUCCUCCGCUCCCUCGGCCUCGGCCCCGACGACCUCGCCGCCUACCCGCUCGCCCUCGGCUGCAGCGUCCGCAAGAACAUGGUCCCCGUCCUCGACUACCUCGGCAAGAUCGGCGUCCGCCGCGACGAGCUCCCGCACCUGCUCCGCCGCUACCCGCAGGUGCUCCACGCCAGCAUCGUCGUCGACCUCGCGCCCGUCGUCAAGUACCUCCAGGGGAUGGACGUCAAGCCCGGCGACGUGCCGCGCGUGCUCGAGCGAUACCCGGAGCUCCUCGGCUUCAAGCUCGAGGGCACCAUGAGCACCUCCGUCGCCUACCUCGUCGGCAUCGGCGUCGCCAGGCGGCAGAUCGGCGGCGUCAUCACGCGUUUCCCUGAGGUGCUGGGCAUGCGGGUGGGGAAGAUCAUAAAACCUUUCGUCGAACACCUUCAAGGCAUUGGCCUGCAGAGGCUGGCCGUUGCAAGAAUGAUCGAGAAGAAGCCGUAUGUCCUUGGGUUUGGGUUGGAGGAAAGGGUCAAGCCUAACAUUGAGGCACUUCUGGAGUUUGGGGUCAGGAGGGAGGCGCUGGCAUCCAUUGUGAUACAGUACCCUGAUGUUCUUGGAGUUGAGCUGCGAGAGAAGCUUGUUGAGCAGCAGAGCUUGUUUGAGUCCAGCAUUUUGGUCAGUGGUGAUGAUUUCGGAAGAGUCAUCGAGAGGAUGCCACAAGCCAUUAGCCUUGGGCGAGCUGCGGUUCUAAAGCAUGUCAACUUCCUCACAGGAUGUGGCUUCUUGCUGUCUCAGGUCAGCAAGAUGGUCGUGGGGUGCCCCCAAUUGCUGGCACUGAACAUGGAUAUAAUGAAGAUGAACUUCGAGUACUUUAAGAAUGAAAUGGAGAGGGAUUUGGAGGAGCUGGUUGAGUUCCCGGCAUUCUUUACAUAUGGCCUCGAAUCCACUAUAAGAUAUCGGCAUGGGAUUGUGGCUAAAAAGGGGUUCACAUGCUCUCUCGCAUGGCUGCUCAACUGCUCUGAUGCGAAAUUUGAUGAGCGUAUGAAGUAUGACACAAUUGGUGUUGAAGAAAUGGAGGAUGAUAAUUCCUUCGACAAAGAUAGGUUCGUGGAGCAAGUACAAGAUGAGGAUGAUGAGGAUAUGGAAGAGGAUAGCGAUUAUGAUGAGACUGACGACGAGUUCAUCGAAUGA